RNAcentral lists this ribosomal RNA (450 nucleotides) under uncultured bacterium. RNAcentral's name for it is "partial 16S ribosomal RNA". It matches the Rfam family "Bacterial small subunit ribosomal RNA", at positions 354 to 796 of the family's 1533-position model. The record is from RNAcentral.
GUGGGGAAUUUUGGACAAUGGGCGCAAGCCUGAUCCAGCAAUGCCGCGUGCAGGAAGAAGGCCUUCGGGUUGUAAACUGCUUUUGUACGGAACGAAACGGUCCUGGUUAAUACCCGGGGCUAAUGACGGUACCGUAAGAAUAAGCACCGGCUAACUACGUGCCAGCAGCCGCGGUAAUACGUAGGGUGCGAGCGUUAAUCGGAAUUACUGGGCGUAAAGCGUGCGCAGGCGGUUUUGUAAGAUCGAUGUGAAAUCCCCGGGCUCAACCUGGGAACUGCAUUGGUGACUGCAAGGCUGGAGUGCGGCAGAGGGGGAUGGAAUUCCGCGUGUAGCAGUGAAAUGCGUAGAUAUGCGGAGGAACACCGAUGGCGAAGGCAAUCCCCUGGGCCUGCACUGACGCUCAUGCACGAAAGCGUGGGGAGCAAACAGGAUUAGAUACCCCUGUAGUCC